Molecule: long non-coding RNA, 401 nt
Filed under: Drosophila guanche
Lineage: Eukaryota; Metazoa; Arthropoda; Insecta; Diptera; Drosophilidae
Source: RNAcentral
UAUAAUAAAAUCGGAUAAAAUACUUGCAAGGUACGUCGCAACACCAAACAAAUAUUUUACUCUCAUAAUUUACACAUUUUAAACUCCUUUUUUUUGGGCGGUAAGCAAAACAUAACUGUAAAAGAUGUCUGUCAAUUACGUUUGUGGAAUGUGAAAUGGAACAUCCAUUUGGUUUUAUUGCCAGUCACCCAUGGCACCCUCAACCUGAUGAUGUGGCAGUGCGCCACUCCUGGCAAGAAGUCCACCCCAUGGGAGGGUGGCCUCUACAAGCGCAGGAAGAGGCGUAUGGCAUACUGUUGAAGAACCGCUUGGAGUACGACAAGCGCGUGCGUGCCCAGGCGCGUGCCAUGGCCAGUAACAUAUAAAAAUAAAUAUUCCACUUAGAAUGCUGCUUAUAAGAG